AUGUCGGCGAGCUCGUUGGCGUCAUACUGCCCCAACAAGAGCGCCAUCGGGUCGGCGGCGCUGCUGGCGGCUGCAACCAUGGAUGAUGGAAAUUAUCAGAUUCAUGAAACUCGACUUGUUGAAGUUUCAGUCCAGCUUCACUCACCGCCUUUCAUUGUCAUCGAACGCCGCAUCCCCGGCCUACUCUCUCUUCACCCGUCAAUGCUCAUGUGCUUCGACCCUCCCCGACCCCUCCCAGCAAGCAGUAGAGUCUCUCUUGUUCGAGCUCCACCGGGCCGCGGCGGCGACGUCCAUGUUCGUUGGGCGGAGCACAAUGCUGGGGUUGAAAUCCACCAUGCUGCUACUGAUGAGGCUCUCCUCCUUUGUCCACCGGUUAUCGGACAACUGCCUAUGAGACAUCCACUGUCGUACACUCAUUUGAUCGUGCUGAUGCGCCUGGCUGUGGGAUGGCUUCUGCUGGGAUGCUUCGAGAUUUUUAGAACACUAAGGGCAUAUUUUGGCUUGAAUGCCGUUGGGUCGAUGAAGGUCAUGCAACAUGGCAGGUGUGCAUGUGUCCACUUGGAAGCUACUUGUUUCGUUUUGCUUACUCGUGGUUGUAUGUUGGCUUCGUGCUGGUGGGCUAUAGUUCUCCUGUCACAAAUCAUGGAGACAUUCAUCCUCGCAGAUUUCUGCUCCUGCUAUGUGAAAAGGGCAAUCCACAACAUGAAUAUACAUGUAGCAAUGGUGUGCCCUUGGAACGUCCUGCAUAAAUCAUGUGCUGCUAUGUACGUCAUGAUGCUUCCUCCUGUUCAUCCAGGGGCUAUAAAUGUUAAGGAUUGCCUGACCGCGACAACUAUUGGGUUCCGUCUCACCAUGAAGUGUCGCAAUAAGGCCAUUGAUCCAGUUGUUGGGUAUGCACAUUGUGGAAUGGUUGUAGCAACUCGCUGGACUGCGAAUCAGGCCAUUCCCUUCCUCAGCAGAGCAGUCGGGCAAUUUUUGGACUACAAAAUUAGAGUUGAAGAGCAUUUGUUAGCUGACAGAGCAUUUGUUGUGAUUGUGUUGGAAGUGCCGUGUAUGGCAAAGGUAAAUUGUGACACAGAGAGUAGUAUUUAUUUGUUCGAGUUGGGUGGAGAAGAGACCUCAUUAGUGUAUCCUAGAGUGCAUGGAGAAAUUGAAGGCAAUUCAAUUGUCGGCUCUGUCAUCAUUGUAGAGUAG
RNAcentral lists this ribosomal RNA (1194 nucleotides) under Triticum aestivum (bread wheat). RNAcentral describes it as "partial small subunit ribosomal RNA". The record is from RNAcentral. Lineage: Eukaryota; Viridiplantae; Streptophyta; Magnoliopsida; Poales; Poaceae.